UAUGUUGGGCUGUCCUUCAUUUCUAGCUCGCAAACAACUCCCCAGACGGCGCUUUUUACUUGAAAAAGGUCCAUUACACAUUCCCCGUCAUCAGUUUUACAGGCCGCCAUGUCGCUCGGGCUGCGGGAAAGCCGACCGCGGACUCGUGAACCAGAUUCAAGUGGCCGUGCUCGGACAGCAGUUGACACGCAGGUGCGUCUACCUUCCCAGAGUGUGCGUGGCCGAUGGUGGUCAGGCACGCAAAUGAUGACUGCGUGAUUUAUCGUACAAUCACGAAUACUGAC
Ixodes scapularis (black-legged tick) is the source of this 284-nucleotide long non-coding RNA. RefSeq lists it as uncharacterized. Lineage: Eukaryota; Metazoa; Arthropoda; Arachnida; Ixodida; Ixodidae. The record is from RefSeq and is a predicted model, not a curated record. The transcript has 3 exons.